Molecule: RNA transcript, 3036 nt
Organism: Oncorhynchus kisutch (coho salmon)
Lineage: Eukaryota; Metazoa; Chordata; Actinopteri; Salmoniformes; Salmonidae
Gene name: 14-3-3 protein zeta
Exons: 5
Source: RefSeq, a predicted model, not a curated record
ACGGGUUCUCAUUGGGCUACCGUUUUGUUAGACACGCCCGUUGGUCUGAUUUGGUUGAAGGCAUAGAUUAUUUCCCUGCCCGAAUAUCUUCGUAAAGUAUUUACUCGGAGUGGCGGAUUGGAACCAGGUGUCUGGAUAACAUACCUGUACCUCCACCCACCUGCCCAAAGAUUAUAACUAUCGUUAUACACGAUCUGUCCCCACACCGUUGUCCCCUUCUCACAUCUUCGGACUUUCUUUGAAACUGCAAGCGACAGUUUGAACAUACGAUAACUCAUAAACAUGGAUAAAACGGAGCUGAUUCAGAAAGCCAAGCUGGCCGAGCAGGCGGAGCGUUACGACGACAUGGCUUCGUCCAUGAAGGAGGUAACUGAGAAGGGUGCAGAGCUGUCAUGCGAGGAGAGGAACCUUCUCUCGGUCGCCUACAAGAAUGUUGUCGGGGCCCGGAGGUCUGCAUGGCGGGUCAUCUCCGCCAUCGAGCAGAAGACAGAGGGCAGCGACAAGAAGCUUCAGAUGGUCAAGGAGUACCGGGAGAAGGUGGAGACAGAGUUACGAGACAUCUGCAACGAUGUAUUGGGGCUGCUGAGCAAAUAUUUGAUUGAAAAUGCCCCUAAUGCGGAGAGUAAAGUGUUCUAUUUGAAGAUGAAGGGUGACUACUACAGAUACCUGGCUGAGGUGGCCUCUGGAGACGACAAGAAGGAGACGAUAUCCAACUCUCAAGACUCCUACCAGGAGGCGUUUGACAUCAGCAAGAAGGAGAUGCAGCCCACACAUCCCAUCCGCCUGGGCCUGGCCCUCAACUUCUCUGUCUUCUUCUACGAGAUCCUCAACUCUCCAGAGAAGGCCUGCUCACUGGCCAAACAGGUAGGGAUGAUGAGACAACACAGCAGCCCACACAAACGGCACCAGAUCCCCUAUACAGUGCUUUCUUUUGACACCGGGGCUUUGGUCAAAAGUAGUGCUCUAUAUAGGGUGAGAUUAUGGGGUGUACUAUAUACACUGAGUGUACAAAACAUUACUUUCCAUUAUAUAGACUAACCAGGUAAAAACUAUGACCCUUAUUUAGGUCACUAGUUAAAUCCACUUCAAUCAGUGUAGAUGAAGCUGAGGAGCCUUGAGACAAUUACAACAUGGCUUGUAUGUGUGCCAUUCAGAGGGUGAAUUGUCAAGACAAACGUGUUUUAAAAAAAGUGCAUUUUGAACUGGUUUGAAUGUGUCAAGAACUGCAACACUGCUGGGUUUUUCACGCUCAACAGUUUCCUCUGUGUAUCAAGCAUGGUCUAGCACCUAAAAUACAUCCAAUCAACUUGACACAACUGUGGAGUCAACAUGGGCCGGCAUCCCUGUGGAACGCUUUUGACACCUUUGUAGAGUCCAUCCGCCGACGAAUUGCGGCUGUUCCGAGGGCAAAUGGGGAGGGGGGCUGCAACUCAAUAUAAGAAAGGUGUUCUUAAUGUUUUGUUUACUCAGUGUACACACAGCUGCAUUAUGUGCCAUCUCUCUCCUGUCCAUCUCUAUCUUUGCCUCAUCUCCCUGUUCAUAGGCAUAUCAACCAUUGUUAUUUGUGUGUUUGCAGGCCUUCGACGAUGCCAUCGCCGAGCUCGACACGCUGAGCGAAGACUCGUACAAAGACAGUACCCUCAUCAUGCAGUUGCUUAGAGACAACCUCACACUAUGGACGUCUGACAAUGCAGCAGAUGAGCCAGAGGCUGGAGAUGGAGAGAACUGAGAUGCUCCCUGUCAACCCUCGCCAAGAAAUACAAAAAAAAAAAAUGAGGAAAACAAUCAUUUUUACACCUUCAUUCCUUAUUGUUCCACUUGAAAUGAUUCUAGUAAUGAAUGCCUGUCGUACAAUGGAGCUGCAGUGUGUGUGUGUGUGUGACAUGAAUCAUUUUAGUUUUCACCACGACUCUGCUUUUUGGUAUGAAGAAAAGCUCAAUUAAGUAAAUAAUAUUAUCGCCAUGCCUCAGUUUGCUUGUCCCCGCCUUCCUAAUGUGCAGUUUCUGCUUUAAAAAAAUAUUAGCUUCACUUUAACUGUCUGUUCAACAUGACAAUAUAGGAUGUGUGUCCCCAGAAAGAUCGGUUUUCUGAAUUUUGAAAGGCCAUUUGCAAACGGCAAGUAUCGUGCAGCCUGGGCAUAUGGUGGGGAGGGAAAGGUAUGUCAAGCUGACCCAAAUUUGACAGGAAUUCUGGCUGCCUCCACUGUCCCCCUGUGUGUUGGUCUUCCAAAAAGGUUGCUAGGUAGUUGCAUCUGUCAACACCUGCUGGCCCAUGAAAGCCAACCUGACAUAUUGGGUUUAUCCCAAAUGGCACCCUAUUCCUUUUUAUAAUGCACUAGUAUUGACCAGAGCCCUCGUCAAACGUAAUGCACUAUGAAAGGUAAUGGGGUGCUAUUUGGGAUACAAAUUGUCUGGUAACUUGAAUACUCCUGAAACCUGUAUUUUAUGAAUCUGUGGGGGCUAUCCAACCAGUGGUUGCAUCCCUAUCACCUUUAUAGUGCACUACUUUUGACCAGGGCCCCUAGGGCUGUGGACUAAAGUAGUGCACUAUUGAAGGAAUUAGGGUGCUAUUUGGGAUGUUAACUGUCAACAGACCAAGUCCUAUCCAUGGGCUCUUGUAACAAGGUCUCUCCAUCCACAGUUACAAAACACUCCUUCCUAGUUAUAUUAUUCACCUCAAUGUGUUACUUUGUAGCAUGUCUGACAAUAAAAAGUUGGUACUUUAAGACAAAAAACAGAAUGUGGAAUGGCAAUAGAAUAAGUGCAUGCAUGCCCCUUUAUUUUUUUCACUGUACACUGGAAUGGGGAAUCAAUAUUGCAUACAGAGUCCCGUUUUUGUUCAGUACUUUUCUUUGCAGGUUUGUGCACAUGUCAGAGGGUGUUUGGUUUGUCCAGUGAUUGUCAUUAGAGAUUGAGACCACUAGUGUUUUUGCUAAUCAUUGAUUGUAGCCCCCAAACCUUUGUGAGAAUGUUUAAUGCCCUGAUGUUAUGUAACACCUAUGUAACAUGAAUAAAAAUGACAUUUUGUAAACCAUAA